Molecule: long non-coding RNA, 1471 nt
Filed under: Salmo trutta (river trout)
Lineage: Eukaryota; Metazoa; Chordata; Actinopteri; Salmoniformes; Salmonidae
Description: lncRNA (ENSSTUG00000040507.1)
Source: RNAcentral
AUGCAUCACUUGCUGAGGUGGCUGGGGCAUGGCGGUCGGUUCAAUUUUUUGCCGAGUUUCAGCAGCCGGUUGCUUCUGCUGCUGGGGACAUUGAGCUGGAGUCCACACUUCCUGGGCCAAGGCGGUCAGUUGCUUCUGCUGCUGAGGUUCAGCGGUUGGUUGCUUCUGGGGCAUUUGAGCUGGAUGCCACUCUUGCUGAGGCAUGGCGGUCAGUUCCUUCUGCCGCCGAGAGGCUUGUUGCUUCUGGACCAUUUUAGCUGGAUACCACACGUCAUGAGGCUGCUGGGGCAUGGGGGCCGCUUGCCACACUUGCUGAAGCGUGGUAGCCGGUUGCUUAUGCUGCUGGGGCAUUUGAGCAGAUUGCCACAGUUGUGGUGGAUUGGCGGUCAGUUCCUUCUGCGGUUGACGCAUAGGGACUGGUUGAUUCUGGGGCUUUUGAGCUGGAUACCACACUUGCUGGGGCAUGGCAGUCGGUUGCUUCAGCAGCAUUUGAGCUGGAUGCAACACUUGCUGAGUUAUGGCGGCCGGUUCCUUCUGCUGCUGAGGUUCAGUAGCUGGUUGCUUUUGCUGCUGGGGCAUUUGAGCUGUAUGCCACACUUGCUGGGGCAUGGUGGCCGGUUGCUUCUGCGGUGGAGGCAUUGGGGCUGGAUACCAUGCUUGCUGGGGCAUAGCUAUUGGUUGGUUCUGAGGUAUAGGCAUUGGAGCCAGUUGCUUCUGGGGCAUGGUGGUCAGUUCCUUCUGCUGCUGAGGACCAGUAGCUGGUUGCUUUUGCUGCUGGGGUAUUUGAACUGGAUACCACACUUGCUGAGGUAGCUGGGGUAUGGCGGCCUGUUCCUUCUGAUGCUGAAGUUCAGUAGCUGGUUGCUUCUGGGGCAUUUGAGCUGGAUACCACAUUUUCUGAGGUGCCUGGGGCAUGGGGGCCAGUUGUUUUUGCAGGAUGGCAGCCGGAUGCUUCUGUUGCUCUUCGGUCAGCUGCGCUUGCAUUUCAGCUGUUGGAGAGUUGUAAUUACCAUAUCCUUUAGACCCAAGUGAGCCUGCAUAGAGCCAUGCUGCAUCAGAACCUAGUGCAGGAUACCCAUCACCUAGGUUAGAAAAAGUAAAGUAUAAUGCCAGCCUUUGAAGUUACUGGAACCGCAACUGUUAUUUGAAAUUAAUGUGUAGAAACUCACUUGAUGUAGAACAGGUUAUCCCUCCAAUUAGCAGGCAACAAAGCCAAGAAACUCUUUAAAAAAAAGAAAGUCUGUUAUAAACAUAGCUACCUGUAACACCUGAAGGACAAGGGAAACAAACUAGAUCAAUACUUUUAAAAACCUACCUGAAAGCGAUUCCAAUCAUCAUGGCCGCUUUGCGCUUCAAAACCUCCCCAGUAAUCAGAACUAAUGGUCAGUAUAAGCCCUAGCAUAAUAUCCCUUUUGCUGUAUCUGGCAGGCUUUUGGUUGCUCCUUUUAAACAAAUCCCCAGACCCUUCUAA